GACGAACGCUGGCGGCGUGCUUAACACAUGCAAGUCGAACGGAAAGGCCCUGCUUGCAGGGUACUCGAGUGGCGAACGGGUGAGUAACACGUGGGUGAUCUGCCCUGCACUUCGGGAUAAGCCUGGUAAACUGGGUCUAAUACCGGAUAGGAGCCAUUUUUAGUGUGAUGGUUGGAAAGUUUUUUCGGUGUAGGAUGAGCUCGCGGCCUAUCAGCUUGUUGGUGGGGUAAUGGCCUACCAAGGCGGCGACGGGUAGCCGGCCUGAGAGGGUGGACGGCCACAUUGGGACUGAGAUACGGCCCAGACUCCUACGGGAGGCAGCAGUGGGGAAUAUUGCACAAUGGGCGCAAGCCUGAUGCAGCGACGCCGCGUGGGGGAUGACGGCCUUCGGGUUGGAAACUCCGUUCGCUAGGGACGAAGCUUUUUGUGACGGUACCUAGAUAAGAAGCACCGGCUAACUACGUG
RNAcentral lists this ribosomal RNA (465 nucleotides) under uncultured bacterium. RNAcentral describes it as "partial 16S ribosomal RNA". It matches the Rfam family "Bacterial small subunit ribosomal RNA", at positions 28 to 507 of the family's 1533-position model. The record is from RNAcentral.